RNAcentral lists this small RNA (166 nucleotides) under Hominisplanchenecus faecis. Its description in RNAcentral is "Clostridiales-1 RNA". It matches the Rfam family "Clostridiales-1 RNA". Lineage: Bacteria; Bacillati; Bacillota; Clostridia; Lachnospirales; Lachnospiraceae. RNAcentral also lists the same sequence under 1 other name. The record is from RNAcentral.
GAUGCCAGGGUCAAAAGGUCUAAAUCCACAUGAGCUUGCUCAUAAGUGGAUGAAAGACCUUGGGACCCGCCCAGAUAUGAGCAUAAAAGUGGGAUGAUAAUCCCACGAUAUGCGAAUACUGGAGAGGAUUGUGGGAGUGCAACGCACGGAACAAUCCGUAGGCAUC